RNAcentral lists this non-coding RNA (198 nucleotides) under Kriegella aquimaris. Lineage: Bacteria; Pseudomonadati; Bacteroidota; Flavobacteriia; Flavobacteriales; Flavobacteriaceae. The record is from RNAcentral.
GUAACCGUGAGGUUACAUCUGAAGGCUAUUUGCGAUUGAACAAAGAGCAAAUACAGACUACAAAACCCGGUACUGACGAACAGGAACCGUAUACGGAGGCAUAUUUACUUGGGCAAGCAAACACAUAAUUGUAACGCCCGACGAUUGACAAAAGGGUAAGUAUGUAGAUACGGCAGGGAUCGGGUGAAAGAAGAUGCC